Molecule: ribosomal RNA, 253 nt
Filed under: uncultured bacterium
Lineage: Bacteria
Description: partial 16S ribosomal RNA
Rfam family: Bacterial small subunit ribosomal RNA
Source: RNAcentral
UACGAAGGGGGCUAGCGUUGCUCGGAAUUACUGGGCGUAAAGGGCGCGUAGGCGGAUAGUUUAGUCAGAGGUGAAAGCCCAGGGCUCAACCUUGGAACUGCCUUUGAUACUGGCUAUCUUGAGUUCGGGAGAGGUGAGUGGAAUGCCGAGUGUAGAGGUGAAAUUCGUAGAUAUUCGGCGGAACACCAGUGGCGAAGGCGACUCACUGGCCCGAUACUGACGCUGAGGUGCGAAAGCGUGGGGAGCAAACAGG